This 465-nucleotide ribosomal RNA is filed under the name uncultured Klebsiella sp. RNAcentral's name for it is "bacterial SSU rRNA". It matches the Rfam family "Bacterial small subunit ribosomal RNA", at positions 338 to 795 of the family's 1533-position model. The record is from RNAcentral. Lineage: Bacteria; Pseudomonadati; Pseudomonadota; Gammaproteobacteria; Enterobacterales; Enterobacteriaceae.
CCUACGGGUGGCAGCAGUGGGGAAUAUUGCACAAUGGGCGCAAGCCUGAUGCAGCCAUGCCGCGUGUGUGAAGAAGGCCUUCGGGUUGUAAAGCACUUUCAGCGGGGAGGAAGGCGGUGAGGUUAAUAACCUCAUCGAUUGACGUUACCCGCAGAAGAAGCACCGGCUAACUCCGUGCCAGCAGCCGCGGUAAUACGGAGGGUGCAAGCGUUAAUCGGAAUUACUGGGCGUAAAGCGCACGCAGGCGGUCUGUCAAGUCGGAUGUGAAAUCCCCGGGCUCAACCUGGGAACUGCAUUCGAAACUGGCAGGCUAGAGUCUUGUAGAGGGGGGUAGAAUUCCAGGUGUAGCGGUGAAAUGCGUAGAGAUCCGGAGGAAUACCGGUGGCGAAGGCGGCCCCCUGGACAAAGACUGACGCUCAGGUGCGAAAGCGUGGGGAGCAAACAGGAUUAGAUACCCGGGUAGUC